This 370-nucleotide transfer-messenger RNA is filed under the name Atopobiaceae. RNAcentral describes it as "NM07-P-09 sp004793925 Standard tmRNA". It matches the Rfam family "transfer-messenger RNA". From Rfam's summary of the family: Bacterial tmRNA, also known as 10Sa RNA or SsrA, is named for its dual tRNA and mRNA-like properties. Its role is to liberate the mRNA from a stalled ribosome. Lineage: Bacteria; Bacillati; Actinomycetota; Coriobacteriia; Coriobacteriales. RNAcentral also lists the same sequence under 2 other names. The record is from RNAcentral.
GGGGGCGACUGGUUUCGACUGGAUGGCCCUGAGGCAGGAAGCAAGCCGUGGUCUCCUCGCCACGUUAAACAGGGGUACCGUCAACAAUUAAUUGACAACAAUGAGUUCUCUGGGCAGUAUGCCCUCGCUGCUUAGUCUUAACUAACCAGCGCGCCAAAGGCAGGAUCGCUUCUGUCCUGCCUGCGGUGUCAUCUUAGGAAGCUGCACCUGUGGACGUAGUUGGUAUGCCACAGGCUAAGAUCGAACCAACUGGAGCGGGGCCCGUGCGUCGUCGCACACGCCCCUCUCGAGACCUUCUCGACGACUGAGCUUGGAGAUGCCUGCCAGGGGGCCAUGUAGGACCGGAGUUCGAUUCUCCGCGCCUCCACCA